This is a non-coding RNA of Pangasius djambal, 72 nucleotides long. The record is from the annotation of a GenBank genome assembly. NCBI's taxonomy places the organism in Eukaryota, Metazoa, Chordata, Actinopteri, Siluriformes, Pangasiidae.
AUAGUGGUAGCUCAGUGCUUAAAAUGUUGGACUUCCAAGCAAAAGGUUGUGAGUUCAAAUCCCAUCACUCGA